UAGACAGAUUUUUGUAUUCGACUGUAUUCACGGCGUGAAACGGGGGAUUACAACUGUUGUUAAAUGGAAAGUGAAUCAAUUAACAUAAUAGACUCCU
RNAcentral lists this microRNA precursor (97 nucleotides) under Nicotiana sylvestris (wood tobacco). Its description in RNAcentral is "MIR6152 microRNA precursor family". It matches the Rfam family "MIR6152 microRNA precursor family". Lineage: Eukaryota; Viridiplantae; Streptophyta; Magnoliopsida; Solanales; Solanaceae. RNAcentral also lists the same sequence under 1 other name. The record is from Rfam by way of RNAcentral.